UAGCCUAGUGGUUAAGGCUAUGGAUCGCCAAUCCGGGGACGGCGAGUUCGAUUCUCGU
Molecule: non-coding RNA, 58 nt
Organism: Aedes albopictus (Asian tiger mosquito)
Lineage: Eukaryota; Metazoa; Arthropoda; Insecta; Diptera; Culicidae
Source: Rfam